RNAcentral lists this unclassified non-coding RNA (165 nucleotides) under Amanita fulva. Its description in RNAcentral is "partial internal transcribed spacer 2". The record is from RNAcentral. Lineage: Eukaryota; Fungi; Basidiomycota; Agaricomycetes; Agaricales; Amanitaceae.
AACUAUCAAAACACUUUUUUUGUUGAAGUGUUUUGGACUUUGGGAGUACUGUGCUGGUCUCUUUUGUUUUGGACCCAGCUCUCCUCAAAAGCAUUAACUUUGGAGAACCAUCAGUGUGAUAUAUCAUUUUGUUUAUACGCUGGCUUUCUCCUUUUAAAAAUGCCC